UGGGGAAUAUUGCACAAUGGGCGAAAGCCUGAUGCAGCAACGCCGCGUGAGUGAUGAAGGUCUUCGGAUUGUAAAGCUCUGUCUUUUGGGACGAUAAUGACGGUACCAAAGGAGGAAGCCACGGCUAACUACGUGCCAGCAGCCGCGGUAAUACGUAGGUGGCGAGCGUUGUCCGGAUUUACUGGGCGUAAAGGGUGCGUAGGCGGAUGUUUAAGUGAGAUGUGAAAUACCCGGGCUUAACUUGGGUGCUGCAUUUCAAACUGGAUAUCUAGAGUGCAGGAGAGGAGAAUGGAAUUCCUAGUNUAGCGGUGAAAUGCGUAGAGAUUAGGAAGAACACCAGUGGCGAAGGCGAUUCUCUGGACUGUAACUGACGCUGAGGCACGAAAGCGUGGGUAGCAAACAGGAUUAGAUACCCUGGUAGUCCACGCCGUAAACGAUGAGUACU
This 445-nucleotide ribosomal RNA is filed under the name uncultured bacterium. RNAcentral's name for it is "partial 16S ribosomal RNA". It matches the Rfam family "Bacterial small subunit ribosomal RNA", at positions 355 to 817 of the family's 1533-position model. The record is from RNAcentral.